GCCCCACCGCCUCUGUUUCGCUAUUGCGGGAACGAUGACACAUUGGACAUUGUUUUCCCUGAUUGGUCCUUCUGGGGAUGGCCAGAGAUAAAUAUAAGACCCUGGAAUGAGGAGUUCCGAGAUAUUAAACAAGUUUCCAAAUCUCAAAGUUGGUCAAGGAAAUGGCCCCGUGCUUAUUGGAAAGGAAAUCCAGAUGUUCUGUCUCCUAUUCGUACAGAGUUAUUGCAAUGCAACCACUCUAGGAAGUGGGGGGCACACAUUUUGCGACAGGAUUGGGGAGAAGAAGCAAAAGCUGGUUUUGAGGGCUCCAAACUAUCAGAUCAGUGCAAGUACAGGUACAAAAUCUAUGCUGAAGGCUUUGCAUGGUCUGUGAGCUUGAAAUAUAUUAUAUCUUGCGGUUCCCUUGCACUAAUAAUAUCCCCACAAUAUGAAGAUUUCUUUAGUCGUGGACUUCUCCCUAAAAAGAACUAUUGGCCUGUCGCUCCCGACGAGUUAUGCCAGUCUAUAAAGUUUGCUGUCGACUGGGGCAAUGUAAACCCAUCUGAGGCUCAAGCAAUUGGAAAAAAUGGACAAGAUUUUAUGGAAACCUUAAGUAUGGAUCGAGUGUAUGAUUACAUGUUCCACCUCAUAACAGAGUACUCGAAGCUACAGGACUUCAAGCCUGUGCCAUCAUCUUCUGGUCUUGAAGUGUGUGUGGAUUCUGUUCUUUGCUUUGCUGACGAGAAGCAAAAGCAAUUCCUGGAAAGAUCAACAGCAUUUCCUUCGCCAAGCCCACCAUGCACCCUCCAACCCGCCAAUGGAAAUCUCAUUAAGAGCUGGUUACAACAGAAACAAAGAGUAAUUGAGGAUGUGAGAGCAAUGGAGAAACAGAAAGUGUGAAGAGAUGAUGCAGAUCGCCAAGUUUUUAAUUUUGAAAGUAAUAUAAUUUUGCAGGUUUAGAGUUGCGUGUAAUUUGUGCAUUAGAAAUUACCAUUUUACAGAUGAAAAGCAUAAGUUGAGGAGCAAAAGUCAUUGUUAUACAUAGUCAAUAGUCAAUUCUUCAUCUCAAGGCUAUUAACUUGUAGACGUGCAGUAUCAAAGGCUCCUAUGUCAUCACCCAAAUACUUAGGGAUGUUGAAUUAAUUUUUUAAUUUCUCUUAUUUAUUUUACACGUGCUUUAACUUUGGUUGUCCUAGUCUUUAGCUUAUGCAAUAGCUGUCAUUUGAUUUUGUUAAGUAGUUAAGUAGUGGAAGGACUUAGUGGUGUCCAUCUUUUACGCUUUUAUUGUUACAAAAGCUCUAUUUAAAAGGAGCUCAGUUAAUGUAAUGUGUGUGUUUUUUGAAUUGAAUAAAGACAGUUUUUCUCCACUUUGUUCAAAGUUUUUUAUCAGUGGUAUCAGAGCCCUGGUCAAAAAGGGCAGAAAAGAGUGCUUAAAAAGUGAAACACGUGAGUUUGGAGAGAAAAAAAAACUAAAGCAGCAGCUUUAUUUUUUCCAUGGCUUCAGAUUCUAAUUUUGUGCAGGCAGCGAUUCCUCGUUUUGAUGGUCACUAU
Molecule: unclassified non-coding RNA, 1530 nt
Filed under: Hevea brasiliensis (rubber tree)
Lineage: Eukaryota; Viridiplantae; Streptophyta; Magnoliopsida; Malpighiales; Euphorbiaceae
Source: RNAcentral